This 491-nucleotide ribosomal RNA is filed under the name uncultured bacterium. Its description in RNAcentral is "partial 16S ribosomal RNA". It matches the Rfam family "Bacterial small subunit ribosomal RNA", at positions 29 to 507 of the family's 1533-position model. The record is from RNAcentral.
GUGAACGCUGGCGGUAGGCCUAACACAUGCCAGUCGAACGGCAGCACAGUAAGAGCUUGCUCUUACGGGUGGCGAGUGGCGGACGAGUGAGGAAUACAUCGGAAUCUACUUUUUCGUGGGGGAUAACGUAGGGAAACUUACGCUAAUACCGCAUACGACCUACGGGUGAAAGCAGGGGAUCUUCGGACCUUGCGCGAUUGAAUGAGCCGAUGUCGGAUUAGCUAGUUGGCGGGGUAAAGGCCCACCAAGGCGACGAUCCGUAGCUGGUCUGAGAGGAUGAUCAGCCACACUGGAACUGAGACACGGUCCAGACUCCUACGGGAGGCAGCAGUGGGGAAUAUUGGACAAUGGGCGAAAGCCUGAUCCAGCCAUACCGCGUGGGUGAAGAAGGCCUUCGGGUUGUAAAGCCCUUUUGUUGGGAAAGAAAAGCAGCAGGUUAAUACCCCGCUGUUCUGACGGUACCCAAAGAAUAAGCACCGGCUAACUUCGUG